AACGAACGCUGGCGGCGUGUCUUAAGCAUGCAAGUCGUGCGGCAAGGGUAGCAAUACCCCCAGAGCGGCGGACUGGUGAGUAACGCGUGGGUGAUCUACCCUUGGGAUGGGGAUAGCCACUAGAAAUAGUGGGUAAUACCGAAUACGUUCCCCCGAUUUUGAUUGGGGGAGGAAAAGCGCUUCGGCGCUGCCCGAGGAUGAGCCCGCGUCCCAUUAGCUAGUUGGUGAGGUAACGGCCCACCAAGGCGAUGAUGGGUAGGCGGCCUGAGAGGGUGUACGCCCACACUGGGACUGAGAUACGGCCCAGACUCCUACGGGAGGCAGCAGCUAAGAAUAUUCCGCAAUGGACGAAAGUCUGACGGAGCGACGCCGCGUGGAUGACGAAGGCCGAAAGGUUGUAAAGUCCUUUUGUUGGGGAAGAAUAAGCGCGGGAGGGAAUGCCCGCGUGAUGACAUGAACCGACGAAUAAGCCCCGGCUAACUACGUGCCAGCCGCCGCAGUAA
Molecule: ribosomal RNA, 503 nt
Filed under: uncultured bacterium
Lineage: Bacteria
Description: partial 16S ribosomal RNA
Rfam family: Bacterial small subunit ribosomal RNA
Source: RNAcentral